AGGCUACUUGUCGAAUUCGUUGGAAACUUACAAUUAUUCGUGCAGGAAUAAAUUGGAACAAACUUAGGAGCACCUAAAAGACGCGAUGGUUUUGCGAGUUGUUGUUGGGUUACUCUGCAACAAUUUUAACAAUAAAAAGCGGGAUUCUCGUUGUUCCAUUCUUCUUUUAUAUUAAAAUUUCUGUGCCAUCGUUUCCACGCGUAAAAUUUAUCAUGAAUGGACCAGCACAGAUUGUACCUGUGAAGUCGAUACACUUUCAACUUUGCUUACAAGUAGAAUAAAACGUUUGUUUUUGUCAUCGUCAAUGUUUAUCGAUGAUUCUUCGAGUUUUCCUGUCGUCUGAUUUUCUUGUAAUCGAUCAUGAACGCAAUAAACGUGAAUUGGUUACAUUCGGUAGAGGGAGAAUCGCUGGUGCAUCAUUUUUAUGUAAACACGUCGAAAAAGAGAAGAUUCUAUGGUAUUCUUGAAAGGCCGCCAUUGCCAUCUUCCAUCGAAGAAGUUACAUAUAAAAUUUUUAUGGUCGGCAGAUCUGGAGUAGGAAAAACCUCUGUGGUAGCACGUCUCGCUGGUAUAUUGGAGACGAAUAAUUACGCGGAGACCAAUGGAAUAAAAAAGACAAAUGUUUUUUGGCCGGUUAAAAUUUGGGACAAGGUUGUGCUGUUCAAGCUCCAAUUUUGGGACACCUCGGAGACAAGCAUUAAAAAAUAUAACCAUAUACUGCCUGCAUGCAAAGACAAAGUUGAUGCUAUAUGUUCAGUAUUUUGUUUUGAUGAUGCCAUGGGUUUCAAUGACAUUCCAUACUUGAUGAAUACAAUGGCAGCUAUGAAGGAAAAACCAGCGAACAUAGUAAUAGGAACAAAAUUCAAACCAUGGUCGAGUUCUACAAUAGAGGACGCGCGGAUAAAGGAAUUUGAAGAUAAAUGGAAAGUUAAAGUUGUCAGGGUCGAUAUCAAUAAAUUAUCAUCGAGAUCCGAAAUAUUCGAUUGUUCAUAUCAAUUGAACACAAUAUGUAACAUACUUUGGAAUAGAGAUAAAGAAUUUAUAUCUAAACAUAUGGGACAAAAUUAAGUAGUCAAUGAUUCAGCUUCCGCAAUACCCGCGUGCAUCUUUUUGCAAGAUUUUCAAUAAAGGCUGGCAAACGUUUCGAUCGUAAUUUAGUUGGGUAUUUUGGGUGCGUUCUCAACGAUAGACUGUUGUUAGCACUUGCAGACAACUUCAAGAGAGUUGAGCGUCGUAAGUGGCGGCAAAAUUGGCAGCGGUAUCGAUUCC
Hylaeus volcanicus is the source of this 1269-nucleotide RNA transcript. It is a transcript of the gene named ciliogenesis and planar polarity effector 2-like, with no coding region annotated. Lineage: Eukaryota; Metazoa; Arthropoda; Insecta; Hymenoptera; Colletidae. The record is from RefSeq and is a predicted model, not a curated record. The transcript has 5 exons.